This 440-nucleotide ribosomal RNA is filed under the name uncultured bacterium. Its description in RNAcentral is "partial 16S ribosomal RNA". It matches the Rfam family "Bacterial small subunit ribosomal RNA", at positions 338 to 795 of the family's 1533-position model. The record is from RNAcentral.
CCUACGGGGAGCAGCAGUGGGGAAUAUUGCACAAUGGGGGAAACCCUGAUGCAGCGACGCCGCGUGAGUGAAGAAGUAAUUCGUUAUGUAAAGCUCUAUCAGCAGGGAAGAAAAUGACGGUCCCUGAGUAAGAAGCCACGGCUAACUACGUGCCAGCAGCCGCGGAAAUACGUAGGGGGCAAGCGUUAUCCGGAUUUACUGGGUGUAAAGGGAGCGUAAGAGGCAGUGCAAGUAUGGAGUGAAAGGCGGGGGCUCAACCCCCGUAUUGCUCUGGAAACGGUACGGCUGGAGUGCAGGAGAGGUAAGUGGAAUUACUAGUGUAGCGGUGAAAUGCGUAGAUAUUAGGAGGAACACCAGUGGCGAAGGCGGCUUACUGGACUGUAACUGACGUUGAGGCUCGAAAGCGUGGGGAGCAAACAGGAUUAGAGACCCCUGUAGUC